Long non-coding RNA from Musa acuminata AAA Group (dessert banana), 390 nucleotides. RefSeq lists it as uncharacterized. The record is from RefSeq and is a predicted model, not a curated record. NCBI's taxonomy places the organism in Eukaryota, Viridiplantae, Streptophyta, Magnoliopsida, Zingiberales, Musaceae. The transcript is spliced from 2 exons.
CCGGGAAACGCCGCCGCGAUCCGCGCCCUCGUCUCUUCUGCCGCCUUCAGGCUCCUCGCCGGCAGCACCAGCCUCGCCCCCCGCAUCGCCAGAACCCGCGCCGUUUCCGCCCCGAUCCCCGACGUCGCCCCUGCGCUCGGGGCCACUGCCGUGACCUCCUCGCCGGUGGAUCUGGACCCAAACCCGCUGGCACCGGCGGAACCAAUCAGGUACUUGACCGUCUCGAGCAUUUGCGUUUCUAUUCAAUUCUUCCCUCCUCCUUCUCCUCCUCCUCCUCCUUCCCCUGUUAUUCUCUGGUUUCCUUCGGUUCCACUUUACAAAAGAUAAAAAGGAAUCGAAGAGGGUUUGAAUAGAGAGGAAAUUAAAGAGAGAGAGAGAGAGAGAGAGAGA